This 333-nucleotide unclassified non-coding RNA is filed under the name uncultured fungus. RNAcentral describes it as "sequence contains 5.8S rRNA gene". Lineage: Eukaryota; Fungi. The record is from RNAcentral.
GAACGCACAUUGCACUCUAUUUCGGUAGAGUAUGCCUGUUUGAGAAUCUAUAGUAUUCAUUCUUGGUUUGUUUCUCAUUUGAAACACCAAGAGAUUUGAGGCGUCGCACUAACCCUGCGUGCCUUUAAAACUAUCGAUGGGUAGACUAUAGAAAUGUUUGACGUCUCUAUAUACUGCGCUCUGUAUGUGCUUGAAACCGUGGUUUCUCUAAUACAAGGCAAAGUUAAGUGACUUAGUUUUUAUAGGAUUAUUCACUCACCUAUUAAAGUUUAGCAGUAAUGCAAAACUUGAACCAUGGUCUCAAAUCAGGUAGGAAGACCCGCUGAACUUAAG